Molecule: long non-coding RNA, 995 nt
Filed under: Prunus persica (peach)
Lineage: Eukaryota; Viridiplantae; Streptophyta; Magnoliopsida; Rosales; Rosaceae
Description: long non-coding RNA (PPER_LNC000080)
Source: RNAcentral
UGGGGGUGGGGGUGGGGGAGAAGAAAUCAAAUGUAAGGAGCGCUAAUUCUGGGUUCUGCAGGGUUUGGGGGAUUGGAAAAAAAGGGAGGACCUGUGGGGCAAUAAGGGAGAAAGAAAUCGGGUGGGGAGGGGGAUUCUGGUUUCUACAGGUGCGGGGUGGGAUGAGUGUUAGAGUUUUGGUGAAGAACAAAUGAAGAAAGCAAAAAAUACAAAGAGAAUCAAAUCGUGAGGAAAAUUUUCAUUUCCAUGCUCUGAUAAAUUGAUCAAGCUCUAUGUGAGCUAUAUGACCGUUAAAGAGAAUAGCUAGAUACUCUUACAUCACUUUGUAUCACAGCCCUUCAUCUAAAACUGCUCUCUAAAAACGUUACACAUGGCUUGUACAGCCUUUCACUACUAAAGCCUAACACUUGUCAUUUUUAGUGACUAAGUGAAUACACCAUUAGCUAAAUAGGCUUAAUUACAUUUUCUAUCAGCUCACUACAUAAAUUUCAACAAGGAGGGGGGAGUGGUAUGUAUGUGGUUGCGAAAUGAGAGAGAAGAAAUUGGUGAGAGGUUUUCUUUCUCUAUUUGAUUUUAUUACAUUUUCCUUAUUUUUCUUAAUACUAUACCUUGUAAAAUGCCAAAUUUAUCCUUAUAUUUGACGGGUAUUUGGAUGGAAAUUUCCAAAAAUUAAUGGUGAAUGGUAAAUUUUAGUAUGAGGGCUAAAUUGGCAUGCAAAAAAUUUCAGGGUGGAGAUUUCGACAAGCGUGAUAGCUCAGGAAGGUAUUCGGUAGUUUACCUUUUAUUUUUAUAUUACUCAAUUUACUUAAGUUUACAAAGUAAAUAAGGAAGUAUCUCCCUCUCCCCCUCCCCAAUUUGGAUUCAAAUAAAAAUACUAGGCUUUAGUGCAAAAUACGAUUUUAGGCUAAAAAUGAUGGCUCAUUAAGUCAAUAUAUACUUCAUACUAAAUUCCCAUAAAAUUAAGUUUUCUUAUUUGAUGUGUAAGGAAUAAAAGC